RNAcentral lists this non-coding RNA (74 nucleotides) under unclassified sequences. Its description in RNAcentral is "cow-rumen-1 RNA". It matches the Rfam family "cow-rumen-1 RNA". Rfam says of the family: cow rumen metagenome. The record is from Rfam by way of RNAcentral.
UCAGUGGUUGCUGAGUUAGAGCUUAACAGCGUAAAACCCCCAAAACAAUCCACCGCCGGACACGAUCGAAGAGG